GGUAAAAAAAGCUCCGUAGUUGGAUUUCUGUUGAGGAUGGCCGGUCCAUACCACGUAUGCGCAUCUGGUUUUUCAUCCUCGGCAUCCUCUCGAAAUACGUCUCUGUGCUUGAUUGCAUGGAACGGAGUUCGGGACUUUUACUUUGAGGAAAUUAGAGUGUUCACGGCAGGCUAUCGCCCGAAUACGUUAGCAUGGAAUAAUGAUAUAGGGUCUCGAUUCUAUUUUGUUGGUUUCUAGGAUUGGGAUAAUGAUUAAUAGGGACAAUUGGGGGCAUUCGUAUCAACACGUCAGAGGUGGAAUUCUUGGAUUGUGUUGCGACGAACUACUGCGAAAGCAUUUGCCAAAGAUGUUUUCAUUGAUCAAGAACGAAAGUAAGGGGAUCGAAGAUGAUUAGAUACCGUCGUAGUCUUUACCACAAACUAUGCCGACUAGAGAUGGGGCAUCGUUCAUUUACGACUUGCUCCGCACCUUAUGAGAUAUCAAAGUUUUUGGGUUCCGGGGGGAGUAUGAUCGCAAGAUUGGAACUUAAAGGAAUUGACGGAAGGGCACCACCAGGAGCGGAGCCUGCGGCUUAAUUUGACUCAACACGGGAAAACUCACCAGGUCCAGACAUAAUAAGGAUUGACAGAUUGAUAGCUCUUUCUUGAUUUUAUGGGUGGUGGUGCAUGGCCGUUCUUAGUUCGUGGAGUGAUUUGUCUGGUUAAUUCCGUU
Molecule: ribosomal RNA, 711 nt
Filed under: uncultured marine alveolate
Lineage: Eukaryota
Description: SSU rRNA
Rfam family: Eukaryotic small subunit ribosomal RNA
Source: RNAcentral